Molecule: long non-coding RNA, 1339 nt
Filed under: Marmota monax (woodchuck)
Lineage: Eukaryota; Metazoa; Chordata; Mammalia; Rodentia; Sciuridae
Rfam family: tRNA (bases 1150-1212)
Source: RNAcentral
CGGGGAGGGGCUGCGGGGGGCGGAAGGCGACUCCACCGCGGGAGGAGAGGGAAGAAAGGGUGAGUUUACGAGGCUAAACUCUGUGGAAAAGGAAGAGAAUACGUUCGUUGGAAAAUUAUCUGCUGGCGGGCAUCUCCCCUGGGGCUGACUUGCCACUGCCACCUCAUUUCUUUCCUUGUCAUUUGGAGACGGAAAGGCCCGGGGAAAGAUGCUGCGAGGUCCAGGAUGCCCAGGUGCGCGGGACAGACGCAGUUCAUUGCGGCCCCAUCUAGCACGUACGCACUUUCCUUGUUGCCUGUAUCCUGUAAAUCGUCAUCAGUGUAGCUAAUUUUAAUCCUUCACCAAAAAAGAAAGAAAGAAAAAAAACGACAUCCGGUUUCGAACCUCAUUCAGGAAUCACUCAGUCUUUGCAAACCUUUGAUUUUUCACUCAGGCAAGUGCAGCAAAGAGCUUAGGGGUUUCACAGGAUUCGGAUUACAGGGUACAGUGUUAAUUUGGUGGAGUAGGGGACACAGGAAGGCAAGGCUGGGUCUGUUGUUUUUGUAUCAUUCCAAACCAAAGGGACCCAAUGAACCAGAGUGCCACAGCUAGUCCCAAAGAACUAGUCUCUGGGGCCCUCCCAGAGAGACCCAAAGGAGGGGGUCUUCAGACAACUGAAGAAGGUGCAAAGUUCUAAUGCUCUCCUAAUACUUUGUCCAGACAGGGACUUGGCUCAGUUGACUAGGCUGGGCUGCUAGACUCACGUGACCCUCAUAAGCAGCUGGGACUGCAGCACCACUACCCCUAGCCUCACCUUAUUUCUGCCACAGUGUAGUAGCAAUUUCUGCUGCUCUUAGUGAACAUCAGAAAGAAAAAAAAAAAAAAAACACCCUGGUGUUUGAAUCUCUUUCUACCCCAGCUAAAUUUUCUUCUUUGCCCCAAUAAGGCUGACUAGGUUGAGCUCAUCAACACAUAUAGAAACUAAUUUGGGUAUUGAAACCAAACCCUCCUCCAAAAACAGUCUAUUAACAGAUAUAUUUAUAUGCCAGGUACUGGGCUAUGCACUGCAGUGGUCUAUUCCAUGUUGAAGGACAUGGGAAAAAUGAAUCAUGACAUAAAAAGGCAAACUCAAAAAAUGUGCAUAAUACGCUGUCACUUGUAGGGCUGGGGUUGUGGCUCAGUGGUAGAGUGCUUGCCUAGCAUGUGUGAGGCUCUGGGUUCGAUUCUCAGCAAUAAGUAAAUAAAUAAAGGUCGAUCGACAACUAAAAGAAAAUUUAAAUAUGCUGUCACUUGUAAAAAGAACAGCAUAUUCAUUUGUAAAUUCAUUUAUACAUAGAAAAACUUUGGAAGAAUACAUAAG